Cinara cedri is the source of this 640-nucleotide non-coding RNA. The record is from the annotation of a GenBank genome assembly. NCBI's taxonomy places the organism in Eukaryota, Metazoa, Arthropoda, Insecta, Hemiptera, Aphididae.
UUUCUCGUAUGUUUCCACGAUAAUUCUUCGUUGUUAUCGUUAUAAUUUUUUUCUUAAGUACGCAAUUUCAUUUCAAAUUAAAUAUUAAUAAAAAAAAAAUAAAAACGAUCGAGCGCUGUUUUAUAAAUUAUCACAACAGCUGCCGCGUGUACAUUACGGGCGCACAAUAGGCAGACGGUACGCGUAAAACGUUUCUUUUUUCUACUCCUUAUUCGCAUACCUAAAUGUUCACCGCGAGUUAUUUAUCGACGAUUCCCAUAAUCAUGAUUAUUCAUGAUUUAUUUAUCGAAAUUAUCAUAAUUUGUAUACACGGGUUAGGUUAGGUUAGGUUAGGUUAGGGCUGUGAUACAAUUUGAAUAACGUAAUACCGAUUUACGCUCUAAAGGCUAAAAACAAAAAAAAAAAAAAAAAACAAAUGUUAACAUUUUUUUUUUUUGGUUAUUUUUAAACUAGUUAAUCGCGAAUGCGUUUAUAAUUGGUAAACUAACGAUAAAGCAAAUCGGAGUACACUGGAAUUACGACGCGGACCGCGAACGCGACCAAUCGAAAAUUAUCGCGCGCGAAACGAUACCGGUUUUGUCGUGCAACCGUAUCGUUACGGCGGUAAACGAAAUUCACGAUAAAUUAUUAUAAAAAAACG